UACGUAGGGGGCAAGCGUUAUCCGGAUUUACUGGGUGUAAAGGGAGCGUAGACGGCAUAGCAAGUCUGAAGUGAAAGCCCAAGGCUCAACCAUGGGACUGCUUUGGAAACUGUUAAGCUAGAGUGCUGGAGAGGUAAGCGGAAUUCCUAGUGUAGCGGUGAAAUGCGUAGAUAUUAGGAAGAACACCAGUGGCGAAGGCGGCUUACUGGACGGUAACUGACGUUGAGGCUCGAAAGCGUGGGGAGCAAACAGG
Molecule: ribosomal RNA, 253 nt
Filed under: uncultured bacterium
Lineage: Bacteria
Description: partial 16S ribosomal RNA
Rfam family: Bacterial small subunit ribosomal RNA
Source: RNAcentral